This 79-nucleotide microRNA precursor is filed under the name Gorilla gorilla gorilla (western lowland gorilla). Its description in RNAcentral is "microRNA 548s (ENSGGOG00000042097.1)". Lineage: Eukaryota; Metazoa; Chordata; Mammalia; Primates; Hominidae. The record is from RNAcentral.
UUGCUGCAAAAAUAAUUGCAGUUUUUGCCAUUAUUUUUAAUUAUAAUAAUGGCCAAAACUGCAGUUAUUUUUGCACCAA